UACAGAGGUCUCAAGCGUUGUUCGGAUUCAUUGGGCGUAAAGGGUGCGUAGGCGGCGCUGUAAGUCGGGUGUGAAAUCCUGAGGCUUAACCUCGGAACUGCAUUCGAUACUGCGGUGCUUGAGGACUGGAGAGGAGACUGGAAUUCAUGGUGUAGCAGUGAAAUGCGUAGAGAUCAUGAGGAAGACCAGUGGCGAAGGCGGGUCUCUGGACAGUUCCUGACACUGAGGCACGAAGGCCAGGGGAGCAAACGGG
Molecule: ribosomal RNA, 253 nt
Filed under: uncultured bacterium
Lineage: Bacteria
Description: partial 16S ribosomal RNA
Rfam family: Bacterial small subunit ribosomal RNA
Source: RNAcentral